Molecule: long non-coding RNA, 301 nt
Organism: Spea bombifrons (plains spadefoot toad)
Lineage: Eukaryota; Metazoa; Chordata; Amphibia; Anura; Pelobatidae
Exons: 3
Source: RefSeq, a predicted model, not a curated record
CUGAUACCAAGGAGAAAUAUAAGAAGAAGAGAAGAAGUGGAGCUGGCUGAAAGAAGACGCGUAGGGGCCAGCGGACAAGCUUUUGCAGAACUAAUCCAGGAGUCCUGGUCAACGGAGCGGAUACCAAGGAGAAAUAUAAGAAGAAGAGAAGAAGUGGAGCUGGCUGAAAGAAGACGCGUAGGGGCCAGCGGACAAGCUUUUGCAGAACUAAUCCAGGAGUCCUGGUCAACGGAGCGGAUACCAAGGAGAAAUAUAAGAAGAAGAGAAGAAGUGGAGCUGGCUGAAAGAAGACGCGUAGGGG